AUUCAUCUUCUUAAAUAUAAUAACAGAUACAUCAUAAAUAAAAAUAAUAAUAAAGUUCAAUUCAAAUAUUUAAUUAAAUCAAAACUGGUUUAGAGCAUCUAAAUCCAAACUAAAUAUCAACCUAAAUCUCAAGAUUCAUAAUUAAAUAACUACAAGCCUGUGAUCAUAAAAUAAACUAAACUUCUACUAUAAAAUUUUCUAGCUUGCUUCGCAAAUCCUCAAGCCUGAAUUUUCUUCACUGGUCCUAACCUUAUUCUUCUGUACAAAAAAAAAAAAAUAUGAGCUAUACUAGCCC
This 295-nucleotide long non-coding RNA is filed under the name Elaeis guineensis (African oil palm). RNAcentral's name for it is "long non-coding RNA (EGUI_LNC013953)". The record is from RNAcentral. Lineage: Eukaryota; Viridiplantae; Streptophyta; Magnoliopsida; Arecales; Arecaceae.